UACGUAGGGUGCGAGCGUUAAUCGGAAUUACUGGGCGUAAAGCGUGCGCAGGCGGUUUUGUAAGACAGAUGUGAAAUCCCCGGGCUUAACCUGGGAACUGCAUUUGUGACUGCAAGACUAGAGUGUGUCAGAGGGGGGUGGAAUUCCACGUGUAGCAGUGAAAUGCGUAGAGAUGUGGAGGAAUACCGAUGGCGAAGGCAGCCUCCUGGGCCAACACUGACGCUCAGGCACGAAAGCGUGGGGAGCAAACAGG
RNAcentral lists this ribosomal RNA (253 nucleotides) under uncultured bacterium. Its description in RNAcentral is "partial 16S ribosomal RNA". It matches the Rfam family "Bacterial small subunit ribosomal RNA", at positions 524 to 776 of the family's 1533-position model. The record is from RNAcentral.